RNAcentral lists this ribosomal RNA (433 nucleotides) under uncultured bacterium. RNAcentral describes it as "partial 16S ribosomal RNA". It matches the Rfam family "Bacterial small subunit ribosomal RNA", at positions 29 to 507 of the family's 1533-position model. The record is from RNAcentral.
AACGAACGCUGGCGGCAUGCCUAACACAUUCAAGUCGAACGAGACCUUCGGGUCUAGUGGCGCACGGGUGCGUAACGCGUGGGAACCUGCCCUUAGGUUCGGAAUAACUCCCCGAAAGGGGUGCUAAUACCGGAUAAUGUCUUCGGACCAAAGAUUUAUCGCCUUUGGAUGGGCCCGCGUUGGAUUAGCUAGUUGGUAGGGUAAAAGCCUACCAAGGCGACGAUCCAUAGCUGGUCUGAGAGGAUGAUCAGCCACACUGGGACUGAGACACGGCCCAGACUCCUACGGGAGGCAGCAGUGGGGAAUAUUGGACAAUGGGCGAAAGCCUGAUCCGGCAAUGCCGCGUGAGUGAUGAAGGCCUUAGGGUUGUAAAGCUCUUUUACCCGGGAUGAUAAUGACAGUACCGGGAGAAUAAGCUCCGGCUAACUCCGUG